AUAUUAUUCGUUCCCUACACCGGCAACAUAAAGCGGUUGCUUAUCCAGGUGGAAAGCGAUAUUGCAGCCACAUAUUCCUUGCAGUUUCGUCUCAUUAAAAAUUAUGGCACCGCGUAUCUGUUUUAUGGCAUGCCUCGUAAUCGUAGCAGCAAGCAGCCAAAUGGUGGCUUCACUUCCAACGACGGAGUUGCCAAAAAAUUGCACAACAGAAGAUCAGACAGCGGCUGAACAGUGCCUACAAUCUUUCUACGCUCUGCUAAACAAGAACAGAGAAAAACUGCAAACACUCGAAGCAGGCUUCGCCACCGGUGACCCCAACAUGACCACUGCCGCCGCCGCAGUCGAGUUUGUAUGCGGACCGCUGGCUGGCGCGUUUACCUGUCUUGAACAGCUGCCGCGUCCAUGUUUUUCCCACUGGAUAUGACCAUGGAGCUUCAUUGGUUUCUGCACAACCCGCGAAUUACUGUAAAUACCAGCGACAUUUUCCGCCGAGUGUGCAGUGUUCCAGAUCUGAGCCAACACUUAAUCCGCAUUGUUAAAUGCAAAACAGCACUUCCCACUUUUAAAGCCGAUGGCGUUUUGGGUGAAAUUCAGCGUGCUAUUGGCCCAGCCCCUUUUCCCCAGACCCUGGAUAACUUUUUUGAUUGGCAAUGCCGAGCGAAUCACCAUUUAAUGGAAACUGUAACCCUGGAUCUGGUUGAAACCACGUGCGGUGCGGAUGCCGGUGUCACGUACACCACGCUCUUUCCCCUGGUGCGAGACGUGCUUUCGUGUUCCAGUAAUCGUACGGAAGCGGUCGCCUGAGUACAUAAGAAAGCCGUUACAUUUUUCCUCUAACUGUCUAACUGCAAGUUCUGGCAAUUCAGCCGAGAAAAUCAAAUUGAAUCUUUGAGGUCCUUUUAUCUUUGAGGUUGUACAACCAUUAACCAUCUGACAAGAAGAGAAUAAAAUAGGACUGUUC
Molecule: long non-coding RNA, 961 nt
Organism: Paramacrobiotus metropolitanus
Lineage: Eukaryota; Metazoa; Tardigrada; Eutardigrada; Parachela; Macrobiotidae
Exons: 3
Source: RefSeq, a predicted model, not a curated record